This 68-nucleotide transfer RNA is filed under the name Hylica paradoxa. RNAcentral describes it as "tRNA-Lys". The record is from RNAcentral. Lineage: Eukaryota; Metazoa; Arthropoda; Insecta; Hemiptera; Cicadellidae.
CAUUAAGAAACUUAAAUGCAAGUUAUGGUCUCUUAAACCAAAAAUGGUAAAGCAAAUACCCUUAAUGG